RNAcentral lists this ribosomal RNA (497 nucleotides) under uncultured bacterium. Its description in RNAcentral is "partial 16S ribosomal RNA". It matches the Rfam family "Bacterial small subunit ribosomal RNA", at positions 28 to 507 of the family's 1533-position model. The record is from RNAcentral.
GAUGAACGCUGGCGGCGUGCCUAAUACAUGCAAGUCGAGCGAACAGACCAGGAGCUUGCUCCUCUGACGUUAGCGGCGGACGGGAGAGUAAAACGUGGAUAACCUACCUAUAAGACUGGGAUAACUUCGUGAAACCGGUGCUAAUACCGGAUAAUAUAUUGAACCGCAUGGUUCAAUAGCGAAAGACGGUUUUGCUGUCACUUAUAGAUGGAUCCGUGCUGCAUUAGCUAGUUGGUAAGGUAACGGCUUCCCAAGGCAACGCUGGGUAGCCGACCUGACAGGGGGUACGGCCACAGUGGAACUGAGAGGCGGUCCUGACUCCGACGGGAGGCAGCAAUAGGGACUCUUCCGCAAUGGGCGGAAGCCUGACGGAGCGACGGCGCGUGGGUGAUGAAGGUCUGCGGAUCGUAUAACUCUGUUAUUGGUGAAGACCAAAUGUAUAAGUAACUAUGCACGUCUUGACGGUACCUAAACAGGAAGCCACGGCUAACUACGUG